This 309-nucleotide ribosomal RNA is filed under the name uncultured Hymenobacter sp. RNAcentral's name for it is "bacterial SSU rRNA". It matches the Rfam family "Bacterial small subunit ribosomal RNA", at positions 96 to 405 of the family's 1533-position model. The record is from RNAcentral. Lineage: Bacteria; Pseudomonadati; Bacteroidota; Cytophagia; Cytophagales; Hymenobacteraceae.
UGGCGCACGGGUGCGUAACACGUAACUAACCUACCUAUACCUGGGGGAUAGCCCGCCGAAAGGCGGAUUAAUACCGCAUAAGGCUUUUACCUGGCAUCGGGUGAUAGUUAAAGAUUUAUUGGGUAUAGAUGGGGUUGCGGGUCAUUAGCUAGUUGGUAAGGUAACGGCUUACCAAGGCGACGAUGACUAGGGGAGCUGAGAGGCUGGUCCCCCACACGGGCACUGAGAUACGGGCCCGACUCCUACGGGAGGCAGCAGUAGGGAAUAUUGGGCAAUGGACGAGAGUCUGACCCAGCCAUGCCGCGUGCA